Molecule: ribosomal RNA, 437 nt
Filed under: uncultured Clostridiales Family IV bacterium
Lineage: Bacteria; Bacillati; Bacillota; Clostridia; Eubacteriales; Eubacteriales Family IV. Incertae Sedis
Description: bacterial SSU rRNA
Rfam family: Bacterial small subunit ribosomal RNA
Source: RNAcentral
ACGGAAGGCAGCAGUGGGGGAUAUUGCACAAUGGAGGAAACUCUGAUGCAGCAACGCCGCGUGAGGGAAGAAGGUUUUCGGAUUGUAAACCUCUGUUUUCGGUGAAGAAACAAAUGACGGUAGCCGAAGAGGAAGCCACGGCUAACUACGUGCCAGCAGCCGCGGUAAUACGUAGGUGGCAAGCGUUGUCCGGAUUUACUGGGUGUAAAGGGUGCGCAGGCGGGACUGCAAGUUGGACGUGAAAUACCGAGGCUUAACCUCGGAGCUGCAUCCAAAACUGUGGUUCUUGAGUGGAGUAGAGGUAAGCGGAAUUCCGAGUGUAGCGGUGAAAUGCGUAGAUAUUCGGAGGAACACCGGUGGCGAAGGCGGCUUUCUGGACUGUAACUGACGUUGAGGCACGAAAGUGUGGGGAGCAAACAGGAUUAGAUACCCUGGUA